This 5514-nucleotide long non-coding RNA is filed under the name Gossypium barbadense (sea-island cotton). Its description in RNAcentral is "long non-coding RNA (GBAR_LNC017488)". Lineage: Eukaryota; Viridiplantae; Streptophyta; Magnoliopsida; Malvales; Malvaceae. The record is from RNAcentral.
UUUUCAUGCAAUAAAUGCUCAAACAUAAUUCACUUCCCGAUUCCACAUUCCAUUUCAUUACCACAUUAAUCUAAGAUGCAAAACAAAUAUCACUUUUAUAACUCUUGGUAAUCUCAUUAACCUAUCAAACAAAUUAAACAACCACAAACAUGUACAUAGGCAUUAACAUUUUUAAAUAUACAUCUCAAUGAAUUAUACAAACCCUUUAAAAUUUUAUAAUCACACCUCAAACCAAAUCAAUAUACAACCGAACACUUAACAUUCUUUUACUCUCCAACAUUUACAAAUAUACUUCUAUUUAUAGAUCAUAUCAUAUAUUCAUUUUGAUGCCAACCAAAUAAACCACACAUAAUAUUCGCAUGUAAAAUCCUAUCCAUAAAAUACUAACUAUUAUCAAGUCAUGUAUAAUUCAUAAUUCAAUCCAAAACCAAACAUAACAAGAUGUUAAGCCAUUUUCGCAAGGCUUUAAUAUACAUCUUCGAAUUAAACAACCUUCAAAGCUAGUUUAUACAUGUCAUAGUUUCAAAAGAAGUUUUAGUUUAAAAUACCAUAGUUAUUUGAUAGUGUGAUGAGCUUUUCUGACAAAUUCCUGAGCUCGUAACAAUCUCAAAAUCUAUAAAACAAAAGCAACCAAAACAAAUACACCGUAAGCUAUUUAAAGGUUAGUAAGUCAUAAGCUUAAGCAUAUUUAUUAUUCAUAACAUAUAACAUUUAACUAAUAUAACCUAUAUUAUAUACCAUACCAUAUAUAAAGACAUCAUCCAUUAUAAUUUCAUACCUUGAUUUCAAACUCAAGCUAUAUAAUCGAAAAUAAACUUAUAUAUAUAAUUAUAACCUUUCCAUUGAACAACAUUUAAUUCAACAAGGGCCGAAUCAACAGCUUAUAUACAUAUAUAUGGGUUUAGUUAAUUCAAAUGCCAUUUUCACAUACUUUCCAUAAUUAUAAAUAACAACUUAACCUAUUUGUAAACAUACAUUUAACAAACACAUACCUGAAUAUGCAAUUCAAUUUCAUAUCUGAUCUUCAUUUAUCAUUGCCCAUUGAACCGUUCGAAAUUAAAUAGGAUACUCGAAUAAUCAAGAGAUUUAUACAACGCCAACGUCCCAGACGUGGUCUUACAUGUAAUCACUGAUCGAUGCCGCUGUCCCGGACAGGGUCUUACACGAAAACAUUUAUCAGAAAAAUCUCAUGCAUUUCUAGGGUUCGUACAGGCUUGCAGAUGUUAAAUACUAUUUGAAUCGAACUCAAUUACUUACCUAUUUUAACAAAUACAUUCGGCCAAGACUAACAUUAUCUUUAAUAAUUCCAUUUAUCACAUAUAUAUACUAUAUACCAAUUGAAUUUAACAGAAUUUAAAUGCUUAUCGACUUACCUCAGAUAUCGACGGACACGAUCGACUACUCGACUACUUUCGUUUUCCCCCGAUCCAAUUAUGUUUUCUUCGUUUCUUGAUCUAAACAUAUUCAAAUUUAACAUUUUUAUUCAUUAAUUCAUUCAAUUUAAUCCAAAAACACAUAAAUGAGCAAAUUAACAUUUUACCCCUAACAUUUUACACUUUUUACAAUUUAGUCUCUAUUACAUAAAACACAAAAUUCACACAUACCAUGCUUAGGCCGAAUUUUACCCUAGUCCAUACAAGUCCAUAUUUUUCAUUUAUUUAUCAUUUUAGUCCCUCAAAAAUUUAUUUUCACAAUUUAACCCUAAUUACUCAAUUUCACCAAAAAUUCAAAGACAAAAUAUAUUAAUCUUUCACAUAUCUUUAAUAUUUCACCAUCAAACAACAAAAAUCACAAGCUAUCAUCAAUGUCAAAACACAAAAUCAUCAUAAAUUUCAAAUUUUGAAACAUGGGCUUUGAAGAUAACUUAGCAACGAUCUCAAAAACGUAAAAAUUAUCAAAAACCGAACAAAUUACAUACCUUAAUUGAGCAAGAAAAAGGUCGAAUGUAGCUUUUCUUUUCUUUUAUUUUCCUUGGCUAAUUUCAGCUACUAAAGAUGAACAUGCAAGUGAUGUUUUUAUUUUAUGUUUUAUUAUAUUAUCAUAAUUAAUAUAAUUACCAAAAUAACCUUUAUAAUUCAAUAUACAAGUUUAUAUACAAUAUACAUAACCGUCCAUCAAUAUAACUCAUGGUAUAAUUACAACAUAAACACCUACCACUAAAAGAACAAAUCAAUUUAGUACUUUAACAAUUAGUUAGCAACUUUUACUAUUUACGCGAUUAAAUCCUUUUUCUUUAAUCGGUCACUUAAACGAUAAAAUUAAGACACGAAAAUUUCACACAAUCAAAUUUACACAUAAUAAACACACACAAAAAUAUUAAAAUAUUUUUUUGACUCAAAUUUGUGGUCCCGAAACCACUAUGUCCGAUUAGGGUCGAAAUCAGGCUGUUACAAAAUUUCUCUCCAAAACUUCCCCAAUUCUUCUAUGCGAUGUUGUCCAACAAGUAGAGUGUAUUUUUUUUUGGUAAAUUACAAUAACAGGAAAAUAGCCUGAACAACCAACGCGAUUAGCGCAACUCGAACCCAGGCUACACCUAGGGCGAUGAACACUCUUCUAGGUGAUGAUUGUGGGACAUCAAAUUCCCUGGUGGUUUAGGUGCUAUUAAAAGUUGCUGCUUUGUCAAGGGUAAGUAUUCGAUACUAAUUUGGGGGUUAUUCUUGUUAAGUGCGUAAAUGUCGAAUUGAAGUUUCGAUUUUAGUUGUUUCGUGCUAAGUGAGUUGGUUGUAGUUGUCGUUUUUAGGUACUAAAUUUGUUAUUGUUGUGUUGACUUCGAAAAUCAGUAAGGUGUGUACCUUUUGUCCUGAAAAAUAGAGAACAGUGCAAAAUGGACAAACUCACUGUCGACGCCACAAGACUGUCUACCAAAUCGUGUGAGUCACACGCCUGUGUGUUAGGCCGUGUGGGCCACACAAGCUAGGUCAGGUAGGCCUUGUGAGUCCCACAGGCAUGUGGGCCCAUUUUCAGUAAAAUUUAGUAGAGCCGUGUUUGAUGCAUGCUUUGAGGUUAACUACUUCGUAGGGUCUGUUUUGUGAUAUGUGUGACAUAUAUAUAAAUAAAAUUUGAUAUUCUAUUUUUAUUUGUACGACUUCUGAAAGCAUGUUAAUAGCAUGUUCUAAUAUGUAUAACAUGUAUGAUUUGUGUGCAUCUGGAUAUAUGGUUAGUGAUUGUAUGUGCAUUGGAGUGAGAUAAUUAUGUAAUGGAGGAAGUGUUGACAAUUUAAUGGUUUGUCUUAUCUAGUGAUGUAACACCCAUUACCUGUAUUCGAUACUGAAAUAGAGUACGAGGUAUUACCAGAACACAUACACUUUUAAUCAUAUUAAACCAAGUUGUAAAAUUUCAUCUAAACUAAAACUUUCAAAUUGUUAUUCUUGAUUCGCUAAUUAGGGUUUACGUGGCCCAAUAUACUCACAAUCUUUCACUUUCUUGUCGUAUGAAUUUAUAAAUUUCCACUUACUUGUUGAAUUCAUCACGAGUACCUGAAUUGAUCCGUAUCAUUACAUAUUCUCAUGUCGUCACAUUUUCAUAUUUAACUAUUGUAAUAUAUCAAUUACUCAAUAUCUCAUAAGCUAAGUGUCACAUAUACAGUAUCCAUUCUUCUCCCAUACAACUAUCAAUAUUAGCCACAAAGAUAGUACAAAUUUUUUCUAUUCGAUGUUAAACCAAAACAUGUUACUUCAUUACCAACUAACCUUACUAACUAUACACCUUAUACUAGCCCAAGUGUUUAACCAUUCACCCAUGACAUAAAUAUAUUUUAUCUAUUAUUGCAGAAUAUAGAUGUGCUACCCAAAUCAUAAUUCACCUCACAUAGUAACUGAGUUAAUUUUUAUCAUUUGUCAAAUAAAUUACAAAACAAGUUAUAUAACAAAAUAUAGAUACAUUUUAAACAUCACCAAUAAACAAAUUCUCAUGGCAUUAAAUAAUCAUCACGCAUCAAAGACAAAUGUACUUGACAUUUCCAUCACAUAAACCGAAUUAAUCAGUGCAACCUCAAUGAUAUAAUCAUCCUUUUAACUUACUUAACCAAGCCAAAUUGUACCAUCAUCUCACACAUAGAAUGACCCACCUAUCAUACUUCUCAAUUAUGUCACUUAAUAGACCAAAUAUACCUAACCUUUAUCAUCAUGAUCAAUCCACAACCAAAAUACAUCCAUAUAUCAAAAUUACCACACACACACAUAUAUAUAUACACCAUGACUAAAUUUCUUAAACAUUUGAUCAAUUGCUUUUCAAUACCGCAAUAAUUCUUUCAAUACCAAUACGUAUUUACCAUUCAAUUUACCAUUGACCGAUUAUAAUCGGGCAUAUAAUCAUUUAUACACAAUUCAUUCAUAUAUUUUAUUGUCCUCCUCGUCCUCUCAAUUCCACAUCCUUAAUGUAUAUAACACGCUUAAUAACAUUAUACAUAAUUUCAUUACUCACUUACAUGUAAAUUUAAAGCUGCCCAUCUGAGUCAGAGUCACUAAAUUAUUUUAUUCUGGAGUUACGGAGCUCCAAAUUAAAAUCCGUUAAUUUUCCAUGAAACUAGAUUCAUAUAUAUUUUUACCAUAAAAAUUUCAGAAUUUUUACCUAUCCAAUAAGUACUGUUUAUUCUUUAAAGUUUCCCCUGUUGCACUGCUCGACAGUUCUGACCUCUCUUCACUAAAAAUUGAUUAUCUAAUUGUGCAGAAUUUGAAUGGUAUUCCCGUUUAUUUCUCAUGAAAAUAGACUUGUUAAAUAUUCUAAAAAUAUAAAUUUUAACCCAUAAUUAAUUUUUUACAAUUUUUAAUGAUUUUCCAAAGUCAGAACAGGGAAUUCUGAAAUUAUUCUGACUCUGUCUCACAAAAUUUAUUAUAUCUCAUGAUUUACAAUUUCAUUACUUACAUCGUUUCUUCUAUGAGAAACUAGACUCAAUAAGCUUUAAUUUCAUAUUUUACUCAUCUUCUAAUUCGAUUCCCACGAUUUUUGGUGAUUUUUCAAAGUUGGCACACUACUGCUGCCCAAAAUUGUUUUAGUGCAAUAUAUUGAUUACCAUUUUGACCCUAAACUUUUAACACAUGACAAUUUCAUCCGUAGGCUCGAAAAAUGAAAUUCUUGCAAUUUAAUCUUUGAUCCAAGCCUAAUAAUUCUCAUACCUAUCAAUAAAAGCCCAUGGAUUCCAUGAAAUUUCAGAAUUUUUCCACAAUUUCAAUACGUUUCAACUUAAUCCCUAAAACAUGUUUUCAUCCAAAAUUCUUUAAUAAAACACCUUUAAACAUCCAUUAACAUAUCAAUUUCAUCAUCAAAUAAUAAAAAUCAUAUGAACUUAUCAAUGGUAUCUUCCUAAACUUUCAAAAAAAUGAGAAACUAGUAGAAUACUAAGUUGGACCUAAUUGUAAAAGUCUAAAAAUAUAAAAAUUUCAAUGAAAAAGUAAGAAUUACACUUACUUGAAGCUAAAAUAUGGAAGACAAGCUCUAAACCCUCUUCCAUGGCUGUUUUCCACCGAAAUUUUAAGAAGAAAUGGUCUUGAAAUCCUUAAAAUAAAUUUUGGCCAC